Molecule: ribosomal RNA, 326 nt
Filed under: uncultured bacterium
Lineage: Bacteria
Description: bacterial SSU rRNA
Rfam family: Bacterial small subunit ribosomal RNA
Source: RNAcentral
CGCGUGAGGAACCUGCCUCAAAGAGGGGGACAACAGUUGGAAACGACUGCUAAUACCGCAUAAGCCCACGGCUCGGCAUCGAGCAGGGGGAAAAGGAGCAAUCCGCUUUGAGAUGGCCUCGCGUCCGAUUAGCUAGUUGGUGAGGUAAUGGCCCACCAAGGCGACGAUCGGUAGCCGGACUGAGAGGUUGAACGGCCACAUUGGGACUGAGACACGGCCCAGACUCCUACGGGAGGCAGCAGUGGGGAAUAUUGCACAAUGGGGGAAACCCUGAUGCAGCGACGCCGCGUGGAGGAAGAAGGUCUUCGGAUUGUAAACUCCUGUUG